AACUCAUUCAGUAUAUCUGCUUACCAGGAUGUGUUAGCAGAAAUUUAGAAAAAGCUGGCAAUAGCUCAGUCAUGUUAGGAGCCUAACAGGCACUGAGGUCAUAAGGUCCCUGAAAAUGGCUACAAGA
Molecule: small nucleolar RNA, 127 nt
Organism: Talpa occidentalis (Iberian mole)
Lineage: Eukaryota; Metazoa; Chordata; Mammalia; Eulipotyphla; Talpidae
Product: small nucleolar RNA SNORA33
Exons: 1
Source: RefSeq, a predicted model, not a curated record